CCCUUAGAUGUUCUGGGCCGCACGCGUGCUACACUGAUGCAUUCAACGAGUCUAAAACCUGGUCUGAUAGGGCUGGGUAAUCUUUUGAAAGUGCAUCGUGAUUGGGAUAGAUGAUUGCAAUUCUUCAUCUUCAACGAGGAAUGCCUAGUAAACGCAAGUCAUCAGCUUGCAUUGAUUACGUCCCUGCCCUUUGUACACACCGCCCGUCGCUCCUACCGAUUGAAUGAUCCGAUGAAUACCAUGGAUUAAGAGUACGAAUAGGUUCGCUUAUUUCUGCUGCUCGAGAAGUGGAGUAAAUCUUAUCAUUUAGAGGAAGGAGAAGUCGUAACA
This 330-nucleotide ribosomal RNA is filed under the name uncultured eukaryote. Its description in RNAcentral is "partial 18S ribosomal RNA". It matches the Rfam family "Eukaryotic small subunit ribosomal RNA", at positions 1470 to 1796 of the family's 1831-position model. The record is from RNAcentral.